This 251-nucleotide ribosomal RNA is filed under the name uncultured bacterium. RNAcentral's name for it is "partial 16S ribosomal RNA". It matches the Rfam family "Bacterial small subunit ribosomal RNA", at positions 524 to 770 of the family's 1533-position model. The record is from RNAcentral.
UACGAAGGGUGCAAGCGUUACUCGGAAUUACUGGGCGUAAAGCGUGCGUAGGUGGUUUGUUAAGUCUGUUGUGAAAGCCCCGGGCUCAACCUGGGAAUGGCAAUGGAUACUGGCAGGCUAGAGUGCGGUAGAGGGUAGUGGAAGUUCCCGGUGUAGCGGUGAAAUGCGUAGAGAAUCGGGAGGAACACCAGGUGGCGAAGGCGGCUACCUGGACCGAGCACUGACACUGAGGCACGAAAGCGUGGGGAAGC